Molecule: microRNA precursor, 138 nt
Filed under: Choloepus hoffmanni (Hoffmann's two-fingered sloth)
Lineage: Eukaryota; Metazoa; Chordata; Mammalia; Pilosa; Megalonychidae
Description: miRNA (ENSCHOG00000015749.1)
Source: RNAcentral
CAGGAUGAUCAGUUCAAUUUGAUGCGGUUAAACAAUGAAUAAUUUUUUAGUGUAUAUUCCAUGUAAUAUUUGGGACAUACUUAUACUAAAAAAUCAUUCAUUUUUUUCCUGAAAUUCAGAUGUAGCCAGGCAUCCUGU